GAUGAACGCUAGCGGCAGGCUUAAUACAUGCAAGUCGAGGGGCAGCACGGGGCGAACCCUCGUGGCGACCGGCAACGGUAGCGGAACACGUACGCAACCUUCCCAAACUAGGUGAAUAGCCCUCCGAAAGGAGGAUUAAUACACCGUAACAUAAUGAAGUGGCAUCACUUUAUUAUUAUAGCUCCGGCGGUUUUGGUAUGGGCGUGCGCCUGAUUAGGUAGUUGGCGGGGUAACGGCCCACCAAGCCUGCGAUCAGUAACUGGUGUGAGAGCACGACCAGU
RNAcentral lists this ribosomal RNA (281 nucleotides) under uncultured bacterium. RNAcentral describes it as "partial 16S ribosomal RNA". It matches the Rfam family "Bacterial small subunit ribosomal RNA", at positions 28 to 308 of the family's 1533-position model. The record is from RNAcentral.